AAAAUCGUCUCCAAAGGGUGAGAAAAAAACUAGAAGAGAAAAGUCUCCCAUCAGCUCAUCUUCUAGGGAACAUGGAACAACAGGGUUAACAUCACCCACCAAUUCCAGUUCAUCUUCUAGGAAACAUGGACGAACAGGCUUAACAUCACCUACCAGUUGUAAGUUUUCUGUAAACCUUGGAAAGGCGAGUGCUAUGAAGUUCUCUCCUCAAUCCAAAAGACGGCGUAGAUCUCCAUUAAUCGAGCCAGUUAACGUACAUUCAGCAGGGUGACACUGACAUUUGCAGCAGCUUAUUCCUCUCAGCCUGGAAUGAUUUAAUUCAAGACAUUUGCUGAAUGUCUUACCCCUUAGUUAAGUUUGUGUAUUCAUUAGAUUCCUAGUUCUCACUAAUUAGUAGUUUUUUCAGUUUUCAUCUGUAUCAUUAUUGCUAUUGCCCCAAGUUUAACAUAUUUGAUGUAAUGAUAUCACCAUGUAACACCAUACAUUCUUAUUAAUGUACGUAAUAAUUUCCUUCAUUCUCAAUCUCACAGUGCUGUUAGAGUCAUAUUUUUUUUUUUUUUUUUUGUGUUUUAAAGAAUCGAGCGGCGAAAUUCACACACAUUAAAUGCUGAGAAGUGGAUAAUUGUGGAUUCAAACCUAUUCCCCCUAUUUAAUCUCUAAGCAACCUUUUACCACCUGAGUUGUACUUAUAAUAAGUUGUUAAGUCGUGUUAUUUCAAACCUAAUGGAACAUUUGUUCUCAUGGGGAGAUAAAUAAAUUCUCAUGGUUACCCUUUUCCUUAUAAUUUGAAAUGGACAAAAUACACACAUGCCAUUGGAAUAAAACCAAAAUGUUUAUGUGAAAAGAAAACAAUAAGGUACUUUUGCAUCUACUCUUUUUUUUGGUAUAAAUUGGGUAUCCUCCGCGCGCAACUGCAGUUGUGGGACUCAAAUAAGCGGCAAACUCUCCCUAAAAGUUUUUACACUACUGCAUGCUCAAGGUUGGAUUCGAACAAAGAAUCUUAGGUAAGUUAGAAGAGACUUGUGAUAUCUCAUUUAAGCGAUCUUGGUUUUUUUGCAUCUACUCUCGGGUCACUAUUAUAAAGUAUAAAUAAAUAUUUCUUUUUCAUCUUAAUUGAAUAUUUGAUGUAUCUGAUAUGUCAGUAAAUCUAUGAAUCCUAAAUCAACAUUUUUUCUUUAAUACAGAACGUGGUAUAUUCAACAAUGCAAUUACUAUUGGAAGAAAGUGACUGCACUUUGAUUAGUUGGUGAAGCAAAUUUCAACCAAGUUGCACCAUAUAUAGACCAGUGAACAAUCAGAUAUUUGUUCCAUUUCAUUAUUGUGUUCACCCAAUAGUCUUGAGUCUUGACUCGUGAAUCCACCACUUAAGUAACAUGACACAUGAUUUUAGAAAAACAAACAGUAAAACGUGUGGGGUUACUAAGUGGGGUUAGGGGAACAAAUUUACGCGCUAUUAUUUGGUACUAAUGACAACCUACGAUCAAGGAAAGCAGAUUUUCAUGGUUAAAAUUGUCGGGUUCAGAUUCACUAUUUGGAGCCUUGUCAAUAUCAAAUAAUUUAAAAUUCUUUGACAUUAUUUUGGCAAAUACUACCAAUUUUAUUUUAGUUUUUUAUUAGGAAGAAAAUGGAGUUAGGCCAUUAGGGAUGUUCAUAUUUUGUAUUGUCACUCCAUUGUAUCACUGUGACACCAUUUAUUCUUGAAGCGUUUAAAACAAUUAAGGGUUAAUAGUGCUUUUUAUCCUGUAAUAUAUGUUAUUUUCGGUUUUCGUCCCUAUAAAAUUUUUGGUUUGAUUUGCAUCCUCGUAAAAUAUAUUUUUUUUCGGAAAACAUCCUUAAUAGGCCAUUCAAAAACCAAAAUUUCUUGAAAAAAAAUUCUGAAAAUGGGCUAUUAAAGGUGUUUUCCUGAAAAUAAAAUUUUUACGAGGACACAAAUUAAACCGAAAAUUUUAUAGGGACGAAAACCGGAAAUGACAUAUAUUACAGGAGUGAAAAACACUGUUAACCCAACAAUUAAUACAACCAGGAUAGUUUCUUUUUUUUUUUGAAGGAAACAAGGAUAGUUCAUAGUUGCAUAAUGUAACUGGCUCUGGCUACGGUAGGCGACCUUAAUGGGUCUCCUACCAUAAGAGAUUACAAUUUUUAUUAUUUUUUUUAGUUUGUAAAUUGGUUGUGAGCCAUUGAAUUUAGAAAGAACAUUUUGAAUGGCACAGAUUUCUUGGCAGGUUGACGCACUAGGAUAGUAUAUUUUAAUCUUUAAAGUUGAUAUUUAAUAACUUAAAUGAUUUUUCAAACAAUUUACGUAAAGGGUGUUAUUGUCAACUAUAUACAUCAUUUAAUGAAUGAAUCUAAAAUGUUAGUUUUACUUAUAAUAGUGACCGGAGGGUGUACUCCAAACAUAACCCUAAUUAAUACUACUAAUUAAUACUAGAUGCAUUUAUUAUUAUUUUUUCAAACAUAACCCUAAUUAAUACUACUAAUUUACCUUCUUUUUUUUUUUACGUUUAUUUACCUUGGAAUAUGAAAAAGUCAAAUUUGAAUAUACUACUAAUUUACCUUAUAUCAACGUUUAUUAUUAUUUUUUCAAACAUAACUCCAAUGCCNAAAAAAACCGUCUCAAGAGGGUGAGAAAAGAACUGGAAGAGAAAAAUCUCCAACAAAAAAACCGUCUCAAGAGGGUGAGAAAAGAACUGGAAGAGAAAAAUCUCCAACAAAAAAACCGUCUCAAGAGGGUGAGAAAAGAACUGGAAGAGAAAAAUCUCCAACAAAAAAACCGUCUCAAGAGGGUGAGAAAAGAACUGGAAGAGAAAAAUCUCCAACAAAAAAACCGUCUCAAGAGGGUGAGAAAAGAACUGGAAGAGAAAAAUCUCCAACAAAAAAACCGUCUCAAGAGGGUGAGAAAAGAACUGGAAGAGAAAAAUCUCCAACAAAAAAACCGUCUCAAGAGGGUGAGAAAAGAACUGGAAGAGAAAAAUCUCCAACAAAAAAACCGUCUCAAGAGGGUGAGAAAAGAACUGGAAGAGAAAAAUCUCCAACAAAAAAACCGUCUCAAGAGGGUGAGAAAAGAACUGGAAGAGAAAAAUCUCCAACAAAAAAACCGUCUCAAGAGGGUGAGAAAAGAACUGGAAGAGAAAAAUCUCCAACAAAAAAACCGUCUCAAGAGGGUGAGAAAAGAACUGGAAGAGAAAAAUCUCCAACAAAAAAACCGUCUCAAGAGGGUGAGAAAAGAACUGGAAGAGAAAAAUCUCCAACAAAAAAACCGUCUCAAGAGGGUGAGAAAAGAACUGGAAGAGAAAAAUCUCCAACAAAAAAACCGUCUCAAGAGGGUGAGAAAAGAACUGGAAGAGAAAAAUCUCCAACAAAAAAACCGUCUCAAGAGGGUGAGAAAAGAACUGGAAGAGAAAAAUCUCCAACAAAAAAACCGUCUCAAGAGGGUGAGAAAAGAACUGGAAGAGAAAAAUCUCCAACAAAAAAACCGUCUCAAGAGGGUGAGAAAAGAACUGGAAGAGAAAAAUCUCCAACAAAAAAACCGUCUCAAGAGGGUGAGAAAAGAACUGGAAGAGAAAAAUCUCCAACAAAAAAACCGUCUCAAGAGGGUGAGAAAAGAACUGGAAGAGAAAAAUCUCCAACAAAAAAACCGUCUCAAGAGGGUGAGAAAAGAACUGGAAGAGAAAAAUCUCCAACAAAAAAACCGUCUCAAGAGGGUGAGAAAAGAACUGGAAGAGAAAAAUCUCCAACAAAAAAACCGUCUCAAGAGGGUGAGAAAAGAACUGGAAGAGAAAAAUCUCCAACAAAAAAACCGUCUCAAGAGGGUGAGAAAAGAACUGGAAGAGAAAAAUCUCCAACAAAAAAACCGUCUCAAGAGGGUGAGAAAAGAACUGGAAGAGAAAAAUCUCCAACAAAAAAACCGUCUCAAGAGGGUGAGAAAAGAACUGGAAGAGAAAAAUCUCCAACAAAAAAACCGUCUCAAGAGGGUGAGAAAAGAACUGGAAGAGAAAAAUCUCCAACAAAAAAACCGUCUCAAGAGGGUGAGAAAAGAACUGGAAGAGAAAAAUCUCCAACAAAAAAACCGUCUCAAGAGGGUGAGAAAAGAACUGGAAGAGAAAAAUCUCCAACAAAAAAACCGUCUCAAGAGGGUGAGAAAAGAACUGGAAGAGAAAAAUCUCCAACAAAAAAACCGUCUCAAGAGGGUGAGAAAAGAACUGGAAGAGAAAAAUCUCCAACAAAAAAACCGUCUCAAGAGGGUGAGAAAAGAACUGGAAGAGAAAAAUCUCCAACAAAAAAACCGUCUCAAGAGGGUGAGAAAAGAACUGGAAGAGAAAAAUCUCCAACAAAAAAACCGUCUCAAGAGGGUGAGAAAAGAACUGGAAGAGAAAAAUCUCCAACAAAAAAACCGUCUCAAGAGGGUGAGAAAAGAACUGGAAGAGAAAAAUCUCCAACAAAAAAACCGUCUCAAGAGGGUGAGAAAAGAACUGGAAGAGAAAAAUCUCCAACAAAAAAACCGUCUCAAGAGGGUGAGAAAAGAACUGGAAGAGAAAAAUCUCCAACAAAAAAACCGUCUCAAGAGGGUGAGAAAAGAACUGGAAGAGAAAAAUCUCCAACAAAAAAACCGUCUCAAGAGGGUGAGAAAAGAACUGGAAGAGAAAAAUCUCCAACAAAAAAACCGUCUCAAGAGGGUGAGAAAAGAACUGGAAGAGAAAAAUCUCCAACAAAAAAACCGUCUCAAGAGGGUGAGAAAAGAACUGGAAGAGAAAAAUCUCCAACAAAAAAACCGUCUCAAGAGGGUGAGAAAAGAACUGGAAGAGAAAAAUCUCCAACAAAAAAACCGUCUCAAGAGGGUGAGAAAAGAACUGGAAGAGAAAAAUCUCCAACAAAAAAACCGUCUCAAGAGGGUGAGAAAAGAACUGGAAGAGAAAAAUCUCCAACAAAAAAACCGUCUCAAGAGGGUGAGAAAAGAACUGGAAGAGAAAAAUCUCCAACAAAAAAACCGUCUCAAGAGGGUGAGAAAAGAACUGGAAGAGAAAAAUCUCCAACAAAAAAACCGUCUCAAGAGGGUGAGAAAAGAACUGGAAGAGAAAAAUCUCCAACAAAAAAACCGUCUCAAGAGGGUGAGAAAAGAACUGGAAGAGAAAAAUCUCCAACAAAAAAACCGUCUCAAGAGGGUGAGAAAAGAACUGGAAGAGAAAAAUCUCCAACAAAAAAACCGUCUCAAGAGGGUGAGAAAAGAACUGGAAGAGAAAAAUCUCCAACAAAAAAACCGUCUCAAGAGGGUGAGAAAAGAACUGGAAGAGAAAAAUCUCCAACAAAAAAACCGUCUCAAGAGGGUGAGAAAAGAACUGGAAGAGAAAAAUCUCCAACAAAAAAACCGUCUCAAGAGGGUGAGAAAAGAACUGGAAGAGAAAAAUCUCCAACAAAAAAACCGUCUCAAGAGGGUGAGAAAAGAACUGGAAGAGAAAAAUCUCCAACAAAAAAACCGUCUCAAGAGGGUGAGAAAAGAACUGGAAGAGAAAAAUCUCCAACAAAAAAACCGUCUCAAGAGGGUGAGAAAAGAACUGGAAGAGAAAAAUCUCCAACAAAAAAACCGUCUCAAGAGGGUGAGAAAAGAACUGGAAGAGAAAAAUCUCCAACAAAAAAACCGUCUCAAGAGGGUGAGAAAAGAACUGGAAGAGAAAAAUCUCCAACAAAAAAACCGUCUCAAGAGGGUGAGAAAAGAACUGGAAGAGAAAAAUCUCCAACAAAAAAACCGUCUCAAGAGGGUGAGAAAAGAACUGGAAGAGAAAAAUCUCCAACAAAAAAACCGUCUCAAGAGGGUGAGAAAAGAACUGGAAGAGAAAAAUCUCCAACAAAAAAACCGUCUCAAGAGGGUGAGAAAAGAACUGGAAGAGAAAAAUCUCCAACAAAAAAAUCGUCUCCAAAGGGUGAGAAAAAAACUAGAAGAGAAAAGUCUCCCAUCAGCUCAUCUUCUAGGGAACAUGGAACAACAGGGUUAACAUCACCCACCAAUUCCAGUUCAUCUUCUAGGAAACAUGGACGAACAGGCUUAACAUCACCUACCAGUUGUAAGUUUUCUGUAAACCUUGGAAAGGCGAGUGCUAUGAAGUUCUCUCCUCAAUCCAAAAGACGGCGUAGAUCUCCAUUAAUCGAGCCAGUUAACGUACAUUCAGCAGGGUGACACUGACAUUUGCAGCAGCUUAUUCCUCUCAGCCUGGAAUGAUUUAAUUCAAGACAUUUGCUGAAUGUCUUACCCCUUAGUUAAGUUUGUGUAUUCAUUAGAUUCCUAGUUCUCACUAAUUAGUAGUUUUUUCAGUUUUCAUCUGUAUCAUUAUUGCUAUUGCCCCAAGUUUAACAUAUUUGAUGUAAUGAUAUCACCAUGUAACACCAUACAUUCUUAUUAAUGUACGUAAUAAUUUCCUUCAUUCUCAAUCUCACAGUGCUGUUAGAGUCAUGUUUUUUUUUUUUUUUUUU
This 6462-nucleotide long non-coding RNA is filed under the name Medicago truncatula (barrel medic). RNAcentral describes it as "long non-coding RNA (MTRU_LNC008242)". The record is from RNAcentral. Lineage: Eukaryota; Viridiplantae; Streptophyta; Magnoliopsida; Fabales; Fabaceae.